GGUUCAAUCCGACAAAACCAGAGAAUCCCAAUGAUCUUAAAUUGAGCGUUUUAAGAUCGGUGUAAGCAAAGCUUGAACACACAAUACCUGUAAUCUAUCAGAUUGUGUCUAAAUGAUUUUAAACCAUGCAUUUAUUUAUUGUAAACUGAGACCUGUUGUUCUCUUGCAGAUAGAGAGUUGUGUUUUGAAUAUUUCAAAGUGAAGAUUUACGGCAGCGGCUUUUAACAUU
This 229-nucleotide long non-coding RNA is filed under the name Mytilus galloprovincialis (Mediterranean mussel). The record is from RNAcentral. Lineage: Eukaryota; Metazoa; Mollusca; Bivalvia; Mytilida; Mytilidae.